Molecule: ribosomal RNA, 901 nt
Filed under: Stegana multicardua
Lineage: Eukaryota; Metazoa; Arthropoda; Insecta; Diptera; Drosophilidae
Description: eukaryotic LSU rRNA
Rfam family: Eukaryotic large subunit ribosomal RNA (bases 1-718)
Source: RNAcentral
AGCGAAAAGAAAACAGUUCAGCACUAAGUCAGUUUGUCUUUAUGGCAAAUCUGAGAUGCAGUGUAUGGAACAUUUUCAAUCUAAUAUGAGAAAUUAAUGAUUUAAGUCCUUCUUAAAUGAGGCCAAUUACCCAUAGAGGGUGCCAGGCCCGUAUAACAUUAAUGAUUAUUAGAGGAUGAUUCCGAAGAGUCGUGUUGCUUGAUAGUGCAGCACUAAGUUGGUGGUAAACUCCAUCUAAAACUAAAUAUAACCAUGAGACCGAUAGUAAACAAGUACCGUGAGGGAAAGUUGAAAAGAACUCUGAAUAGAGAGUUAAAUAGUACGUGAAACUGCUUAGAGGUUAAGCCCGAUGAACCUGAAUAUCCAUUAUGGAAAAUUCAUCAUUAGAAUUUGUGAUAUAUAUAUAUAUAUUUAACAAUGAUAAUGUGCAUUUUUUCCAUAUAAAGGACAUUGUAAUCUAUUAAUAUAAAAAUAUUUAUCAAAAAAUCAUAAAUUUUAAAGUUUAUUUAAAUUAUUAUGCUAUUACGCAUUUUAACAUAAAAUAAAUUAUUUAUGAUUUGAUAAAGUAUUGAUAGAUUUAUCAUAUAUACAGUGCUUUAAUUUUAUUAAUAAAAUUAUAUAAAUGAUAUCAUGUAUAAUCAUGUUUAAUUUAUAUGCACUUGUAUGAUUAACAAUGCGAAAGAUUCAGGAUACCCUCGGGACCCGUCUUGAAACACGGACCAAGGAGUCUAACAUAUAUGCAAGUCAUUGAGAAUAAUAUAAACUUAAUGGCAUAAUUAACUUAACUGAAUUAUAUAUUUUAUAUAUAAUGGGAUUAGUUUUUAAAUUAUUUAUAAUUUUAUUAACACAAUCCCGGGGCGUUCUAUAUAGUUAUGUAUAAUAAUAUUUAUUUAUUAUUUAU